UAGAGCCAUUCAAAUAAGGUACAGCCUAUUUGAAACAGGACACAACCUCGACUAACGGGUAAGCUAAUGAUCUUACACAACCAAGUGGGCCUAAAAGCAGCCACCUUUAAGAUAGCGUCAAAGCUUAAUUAUGUUAACAUUUAAUCUCUACAAUUUUCACCAACCCUUUAUUUAUAUUGAGUAAUUCUAUAUGCUUAUAGAACUUUUCAUGUUAAAACUAGUAACAAGAAGAAGACCUUCUCUUAAAUGCAAGCAUAAAUCAGGAAGGACACACCACUGAUGAUUAACACCUAUGAACAAAAAGAUAGAACCAAACAAGAAAACCCUACUUAUCCUUAUGUUAAUCUAACACAAGAGCAUUCCAAGAAAGAUUGAAAGAAAAAGAAGGAACUCGGGCAAUAAUAACCUCGCCUGUUUACCAAAAACAUCGCCUCUUUGUAAACAUAAGAGGUCCAGCCUGGCCAGUGACUCUGUUCAACGGCCGCGGUUU
This 490-nucleotide ribosomal RNA is filed under the name Alsodes monticola (Island spiny-chest frog). Its description in RNAcentral is "partial 16S ribosomal RNA". The record is from RNAcentral. Lineage: Eukaryota; Metazoa; Chordata; Amphibia; Anura; Alsodidae.